RNAcentral lists this ribosomal RNA (282 nucleotides) under uncultured prokaryote. RNAcentral describes it as "partial 16S ribosomal RNA". It matches the Rfam family "Bacterial small subunit ribosomal RNA", at positions 524 to 803 of the family's 1533-position model. The record is from RNAcentral.
CACGGGGGUUGCGAGCGUUGUCCGGAAUUACUAGGCGUAAAGGGCAGGCAGGCGGAUCCAUAAGUUUAUCGUUUAAGGCGUCGGCUUAACCGGCGUAGGGCGGUAGAUACUGUGGAUCUGGAAUGCGGUUGGGGAAGACAGAAUUCCUGGUGUAGCGGUGGAAUGCGCAGAGAUCAGGAGGAAUACCGAAGGCGAAGGCAGUCUUCCAAGCCGUUAUUGACGCUCAACUGCGAAGGUGUGGGUAUCAAACAGGAUUAGAUACCCCGGUAGUUCCUGAGCGGG